RNAcentral lists this small nucleolar RNA (63 nucleotides) under Jatropha curcas. Its description in RNAcentral is "Small nucleolar RNA snoR101". It matches the Rfam family "Small nucleolar RNA snoR101". Lineage: Eukaryota; Viridiplantae; Streptophyta; Magnoliopsida; Malpighiales; Euphorbiaceae. The record is from Rfam by way of RNAcentral.
GUAUUACACUUGAUCUCUGAACUUCAGGUAAGUUCACUUGUUGACAGCUCAUGUACUGAUGCU